ACGAUGAUCCGGUGCUUGCAUCGGGGAUUAGUGGCGAACGGGUGAGUAACACGUGAGUAACCUGCCCUGGACUCUGGGAUAACUUCGAGAAAUCGGAGCUAAUACCGGAUAGGACCUUUCCUCGCAUGAGGUUUGGUGGAAAGUUUUUCGGUUUGGGAUGGACUCGCGGCCUAUCAGCUUGUUGGUGAGGUAAUGGCUCACCAAGGCGUCGACGGGUAGCCGGCCUGAGAGGGUGACCGGCCACACUGGGACUGAGACACGGCCCAGACUCCUACGGGAGGCAGCAGUGGGGAAUAUUGCACAAUGGGCGCAAGCCUGAUGCAGCAACGCCGCGUGCGGGAUGACGGCCUUCGGGUUGUAAACCGCUUUUAGUAAGGAAGAAGGGCAGUCUUUGGGCUGUUUGACGGUACUUGCAGAAAAAGGACCGGCUAACUACGUGCCAGCAGCCGCGGUAAUACGUAGGGUCCGAGCGUUGUCCGGAAUUAUUGGGCGUAAAGAGCUCGUAGGCGGUUUGUCGCGUCUGCUGUGAAAUCCCGAGGCUCAACCUCGGGUCUGCAGUGGGUACGGGCAGACUGGAGUGCGGUAGGGGAGAAUGGAAUUCCUGGUGUAGCGGUGGAAUGCGCAGAUAUCAGGAGGAACACCGAUGGCGAAGGCAGUUCUCUGGGCCGUAACUGACGCUGAGGAGCGAAAGCGUGGGGAGCGAACAGGAUUAGAUACCCUGGUAGUCCACGCCGUAAACGUUGGGCGCUAGAUGUGGGGACCUUUCCACGGUUUCCGUGUCGUAGCUAACGCAUUAAGCGCCCCGCCUGGGGAGUACGGCCGCAAGGCUAAAACUC
RNAcentral lists this ribosomal RNA (836 nucleotides) under Agromyces sp. AU544_Ted3_MB20SE. RNAcentral's name for it is "bacterial SSU rRNA". It matches the Rfam family "Bacterial small subunit ribosomal RNA", at positions 66 to 902 of the family's 1533-position model. The record is from RNAcentral. Lineage: Bacteria; Bacillati; Actinomycetota; Actinomycetes; Micrococcales; Microbacteriaceae.